AGCAGCCGCGGUAAUUCCAGCUCCAAUAGCGUAUAUUAAAGUUGUUGCAGUUAAAAAGCUCGUAGUUGAAUUUCGGGGUCAGUAGGUUGGUCGUGCCACUGGUAUGUACUGGUCUCACUGAUUCCUCCUUCCUGAUGAGCUGUAAUGCCAUUAAUUUGGUGUUGCAGGGAAUCUGGACUGUUACUUUGAAAAAAUUGGAGUGUUUAAAGCAGGCUAACGCUUGAAUACAUUAGCAUGGAAUAAUGAAAUAGGACGUUCGAUCCUAUUUUGUUGGUUUCUAGGAUUGACGUAAUGAUUAAUAGGGAUAGUUGGGGCAUUAGUAUUCAAUUGUCAGAGGUGAAAUUCUUGGAUUUAUUGAAGACUAACUACUGCGAAAGCAUUUGCCAAGGAUGUUUCAUUAACCAAGAACGAAAGUUAGGGAUCGAAGACGAUCAGAUACCGU
RNAcentral lists this ribosomal RNA (442 nucleotides) under uncultured Glomus. RNAcentral's name for it is "SSU rRNA". It matches the Rfam family "Eukaryotic small subunit ribosomal RNA", at positions 569 to 1018 of the family's 1831-position model. The record is from RNAcentral. Lineage: Eukaryota; Fungi; Glomeromycota; Glomeromycetes; Glomerales; Glomeraceae.